GGUUUGAUAGUUUAAUUAAAAAUUUUGAUUUUGUAAAUCAAAUAUAGGUGAAUACCUUCAAUCCA
Molecule: transfer RNA, 65 nt
Filed under: Colpocephalum griffoneae
Lineage: Eukaryota; Metazoa; Arthropoda; Insecta; Psocodea; Menoponidae
Description: tRNA-Thr
Source: RNAcentral